This 274-nucleotide ribosomal RNA is filed under the name uncultured bacterium. RNAcentral describes it as "partial 16S ribosomal RNA". It matches the Rfam family "Bacterial small subunit ribosomal RNA", at positions 523 to 796 of the family's 1533-position model. The record is from RNAcentral.
AUACGGAGGGGGUUAGCGUUGUUCGGAAUUACUAGGCGUAAAGCGUACGUAGGCGGAUCGGAAAGUAAGGGGUGAAAUCCCAGGGCUCAACCCUGGAACUGCCUCUUAAACUCCCGGUCUUGAGUUCGAGAGAGGUGAGUGGAAUUCCUAGUGUAGAGGUGAAAUUCGUAGAUAUUAGGAGGAACACCAGUGGCGAAGGCGGCUCACUGGCUCGAUACUGACGCUGAGGUACGAAAGUGUGGGGAGCAAACAGGAUUAGAAACCCUAGUAGUCA